This is a non-coding RNA of Acidobacteriales bacterium 13_1_40CM_3_55_5, 74 nucleotides long. Lineage: Bacteria; Pseudomonadati; Acidobacteriota; Terriglobia; Terriglobales. The record is from Rfam.
GCCGACGUAGCUCAGUCUGGUAGAGCAGCCGAUUCGUAAUCGGCAGGUCAGCGGUUCAAGUCCGCUCGUCGGCU